AUCAAAUAAAAAAUAAAUUGAACUCUGUUCAUAUACAACUUCAUGACUUGGAACCCCUGCAAAGAUGCUAUCAGGUACAAUAACAGACACUUGUUCUUGCUCACAGAUACUUGUUCGUUCUCCCAAUGAAGUUGCAUGCAAAUAAAGACUUAAAGCAACAUAAAAGCCGAGCCCUUUUAACCCAUUUGAAAUAAGCUGUAGAAGCUGCUGAAGUAUGAGACAUACAGAGACCUGCCAUAGCCAAGCAAAAUGUCGUUUAACCCAUCUCACCCAUUGGCCGGAUGAUCUGCAGCAGAAAAUGGCGCAAGGACUGGCACACGAUGACGUUGUGGCAUAUAAAGCCAAACACUGAACUUGAAGUCAGCAAAAGCAAAUUGGAAAAAGUAUAACCAAUAACACUGAAUACUCUGCAGUGUAGAAUAUGACACAAUUGAAAUGAGGCAAGUAUAGCAAAUAAAGAAAAACAAACAAAAAUCAAACAUUUGCCAAAAACAUUUAUAGUUUGUUGGAACAACUACACAUCACAAAAUUAAACAUGUUCAAAUCCAAAAAUUAUCAAUUGACAUGAGAAUAGGUCCAAAUACUCAAAAGUUUAUCAAUGUUCAAAAUAACAUAAAAAUAACCGACUAAGUAGAUGAUAAACAUAGUAACCAUCCAUAAGUUAACUAGUCCAAAAUAUCUAGACAAAUAGGUAAAGAACCGUUUUCCUAGCAUAUAAAGUCAUCGAAACGACAACCAUCACUACUAAAGAAGCUACUAUCAUUCUCUAAAGCAAAUAUUGAGGCAUGUUACUCAUAUUAAACUGAGCUUCUUCCACACAUAACUUUUCCUCGCACUCAUGGGCAAUGAAAAGAAGUACUUCGAAGUAUAGGGAUCAUGUGCAAUGAUCUCUCCUACUUCAACCAUCUAUGACUCAUCUAGACCCAAAUCCUUAAUAGCAAGUAAUCCUUCAUAAACUUUUUGCUAAAACUCACUGCAAGCAGAGAGGUUCUUGAAGUAACUUGCUACGUCUCGAAUGCCUUACUCCUACCCUCGCACAAAGUGCCAAUAUUGUUUACCGACUCAAUUAAAGAGCCUAUGAGAGCUUCCUCCGUAUUAGCUUUCCUCUUUCUAGAGGUAGAUUGGUUUUGGACUGAAGAGUUGCUCUGAUCUUGUAUAUUGUUGACCGGUGGUUGGGGUGCUGGGCUAUCACUCUCAAAGCCUUCAUGACUUCCAAACUAGACCUCCUCAUUGAGGUUGAUAGUAUCCACGAGAAUGUCAGCAGCCGCAUCUGUAGGAUUUUCGAUCUUCUGACCUGUUGCUCGAUCUUUUUCAAAUACGAUCGAAAGACUUUUCCAAUGAGAAAAUGGCUUGUUCCG
RNAcentral lists this long non-coding RNA (1358 nucleotides) under Elaeis guineensis (African oil palm). Its description in RNAcentral is "long non-coding RNA (EGUI_LNC007223)". The record is from RNAcentral. Lineage: Eukaryota; Viridiplantae; Streptophyta; Magnoliopsida; Arecales; Arecaceae.